UCCUUAUCAAGAGAGACUGAGGGAUUGGCCCAAUGAAGUCUCAGCAACCAGCAGGUAUCAUUAGCCUGUAUGGUGCUAAAUCCAACAGAUUGUGUUUCUGAGAGAUGAGGA
Regulatory RNA element from Clostridiales bacterium oral taxon 876, 111 nucleotides. It matches the Rfam family "SAM riboswitch aptamer (S box leader)". Rfam says of the family: The SAM riboswitch is found upstream of a number of genes which code for proteins involved in methionine or cysteine biosynthesis in Gram-positive bacteria. The SAM riboswitch acts at the level of transcription termination control. The record is from Rfam. Lineage: Bacteria; Bacillati; Bacillota; Clostridia; Eubacteriales.